CAGUCGCCGCGGUAAUACAGAGACUGCGAGCGUUAUUCGGAUUCACUGGGCGUAAAGGGUGCGCAGGCGGCUAAGUGUGUUAGGCGUGAAAGCCCAAGGCUUAACCUGGGAACUGCAUUUGUGACUGGCGAGCUAGAGUAUGGCAGAGGGGGGUAGAAUUCCACGUGUAGCAGUGAAAUGCGUAGAGAUGUGGAGGAAUACCGAUGGCGAAGGCAGCCCCCUGGGCCAAUACUGACGCUCAUGCACGAAAGCGUGGGGAGCAAACAGGAUUAGAUACCCCGGUAGUCCCUGUCUCUUAUAA
This 301-nucleotide ribosomal RNA is filed under the name uncultured bacterium. RNAcentral's name for it is "partial 16S ribosomal RNA". It matches the Rfam family "Bacterial small subunit ribosomal RNA", at positions 509 to 809 of the family's 1533-position model. The record is from RNAcentral.